CAUUAAGAUUAAGGGCACUAAGAUUAUGAAUCAACGUUCGGCAAAGUUUUUAGGUGUGUGGUUUGAUAACCAUCUCUCCUUCAGUAAACAUAUAACAGAAAUUAGAGGUAAGGUAAAUAAAGCUAAUUCUUUAUUGCGAUAUCUUGGCGGUGUAUCGAGAGGUAUAGAAGUCAAUACGUCACUUAUGUUAUACAAAAGCUUAGUAAGAUCUAUUAUGGAUUAUGGCUCUUUUGUUUAUGCCCCUAAUAAUUAUAAUUUACAACUAAAAUUAGAAAGAGGACAAUUCCUUGGAAUCAGAACAGCGUUAGGAUAUCGUAAUAGUACUCCAAACAAUGUUAUUAUGGCAGAGUCAAAAAUUAUGUAUAUUAGAGACAGAGCACUUAUGCUAGCAAAAAAUUUAUGUAUUAAAAUCUUUAAAUAUGGAGAAAACACGAUCAGGAAUAGUUUGUGUUUACUGAGGGAGAGAGAGCUAUAUGCAAAUUAUAGAAACCCGGCUACUUGUAGAAGUGUAAUUGGAAAGGCAUGGGAUCAUAUUAUGGUAAAUAGAAAGAAAGUAGGUUCACCACUAGAUACGUUUGAAUUGUGGAAUAUGUCAUAUAAACAAAUAACUGAUAGAAUAGAUUAUGAUGAGGAGAUCGGUGAAACAAUUAAAAUAUUAAAACCUAAUAAGAUUCCAUGUAACAGUAACGAUAUUAAGAGCUAUAAUUAUCAAGAUAUUAAUUUAAUUAGAGAGGUUCAACAUAAAUAUGAACUAUCGGAAAACUCAUUAAUUAUAUAUACGGAUGGAUCGAGUGGUGAACAAUGCACUUCUGUGGGUGCCGGUUUGGUUUUUGAAGAACAUGAAAUAGGCUAUUAUGUAAGUUUGCCGAAACAAUGCUCUAUAUUCUCUGCGGAAGCGUUUGCUAUUAAGACUGCCAUGGAAUUAGCUAUGAAUAAAAUUAUAGAUAGAGAUAAUGUAAUAAUUUUUUCGGAUUGUAAAUCGGUCUUACAAGCUCUUAAAAACAAUAGAUUAGAUGUAUAUCAGAAUAAGUAUAUAUUAGAAAUUAAAAGACUGCACUCUAGAUUCAAAGAAUCGACUAACAAUAAAAAAAAGAUGAUAUUCGUUUGGAUCCCAUCGCAUCGAGGUCUGACUGGUAAUGAACUCGCGGAUAUGUUGGCGAAACAAGGUGCGGAAGAGCCAGCCUCAUCUGAAAUAGAGAUACCGAUAGGUGAUCUACGAAGAUUUUAUAAAGAGGAAUCAUGGUCCCUUACUCAGGAAAAAAUCAAGAACGAAUUUAGAUAUAAAGGAAUGUUUUACUAUAAUAAUUACUAUAACAAAAAUAGUAAAAAGCCAUGGUUUAGUUCGAUGAACACUGAAAGAUAUUUUGUUACAUUAAUUAAUAGAUUAAGAGCUAAUCAUUACAAUCUAAAUGCCUCACUAGCAAGAAAAGAUUAUAUACCGGAUUCAAGAUGUGAAUGUGGAGCUGAGUCAGAAGAUUUUGAUCACCUGGUAUGGCAGUGCCACAGGUAUGACGCGGAUAGAAUUGAUAUGGGCAUCCAGUUGUAUCGUCGUAACAUAGAUGGUGUGGAGAGCAUUACAGAGCUUAUUAGAAAAGAGAAUUGGAAGAAAUUGUACGUGAUAUACAAGUUUGUCAAGAAAACAGGAAGAGUAAUUUAAAACUGAGUCUCGAGAGCGAGCAAUAUUAUUAUAACACCUUACGACGUCAUAUGACCACAUAUCCCCGUGGGAGGUCGAGCACGUCUGGUUUUCGUCUUAGGACGUAAACUAACCUCCAAAAACCCCCAUGUUAAAACUAUUGAGUUAAUCAAAGUUUACGUCACGAAAUACUUUGUAUUUUUAUCCUGAUAUACCGUGCCCUGAAACAUUUUGUAAGCAUCGAUAAUAAUGGAUUCUGACAAAAAGUGGCGAUCAACAUUAGAAGAAGGAGAAAGGGAAAGAUUAAGAAUGAUAAAAGAGAAAUGGCGUUUUGAACAAGAAUUGAAUGAACGAAAGUUAAGAAUGAUUGAAGAAUAUGAAAGAAAACGAGCAGAAGCACUGAAAAAUUGCAAUCAACAGCCUGGAUUACAACAUAGGAAUGAUACUUCACAACAAAGUGGAAUUAAAUUCCUUGACUAUGAGCAUUUUAAUGAAUGGAAAUCUAACAAAUCAGUGAUCAACAACAGUUCAGAAGAUAUAAUUGACAAGGAAGAACUAUAUAAAAUAAAAAUAACUAUUAAAGGAAGUAAUCUAUCAAUGAAGGAUCAAAGUACAUCAAAAAAGAUUGAACGAGAUAUUAUAAAUGCAAACGAAAUAAUUCUCCCUCGAAGACCAAGUAAAAUGAAGGUUCUUGCCCAUUGUUCAAAGGAAACGAAAUCAAGAUAGCUGAGGAAACAAUUACGAGACUUUCACAAGAUGAAUUGGUUUCAGAGAAGUAUAUGUCAAAUGAAACUCAAGACUAUUGAUAAAAUUGUCAAAGAGAUCCAAGACAUCCAAGACUGUUUUGCUUUUGGAAAGAAGGAAAAAGCAACUGGCUGAAUACAAGAAGACAGUGAAGAAGACUCCAAAAACUAAAACUAAGAAAACUGAAAAAACUGAGAAAGAUACUACGAAAACCGCUGCUCCUGUCAAGCAGCCAGUUAAUAAGUAAAACAACAAUUAAAUAAUAUCAACACUGUUGUUGACUCAUAUUUUUUAUCUCUGUCUUCAAAUAAAAGGCGAAAAAUUAAAA
Molecule: unclassified non-coding RNA, 2708 nt
Filed under: Monomorium pharaonis (pharaoh ant)
Lineage: Eukaryota; Metazoa; Arthropoda; Insecta; Hymenoptera; Formicidae
Description: uncharacterized LOC118648728, transcript variant X9
Source: RNAcentral